This 2906-nucleotide ribosomal RNA is filed under the name Salmonella enterica subsp. salamae. RNAcentral describes it as "23S ribosomal RNA". It matches the Rfam family "Bacterial large subunit ribosomal RNA". The record is from RNAcentral. Lineage: Bacteria; Pseudomonadati; Pseudomonadota; Gammaproteobacteria; Enterobacterales; Enterobacteriaceae.
GGUUAAGCGACCAAGCGUACACGGUGGAUGCCCUGGCAGUCAGAGGCGAUGAAGGACGUGCUAAUCUGCGAUAAGCGCCGGUAAGGUGAUAUGAACCGUUAUAACCGGCGAUUUCCGAAUGGGGAAACCCAGUGUGACUCGUCACACUAUCAUUAACUGAAUCCAUAGGUUAAUGAGGCGAACCGGGGGAACUGAAACAUCUAAGUACCCCGAGGAAAAGAAAUCAACCGAGAUUCCCCCAGUAGCGGCGAGCGAACGGGGAGGAGCCCAGAGCCUGAAUCAGCAUGUGUGUUAGUGGAAGCGUCUGGAAAGGCGCGCGAUACAGGGUGACAGCCCCGUACACAAAAGCGCAUGUGCUGUGAGCUCGAUGAGUAGGGCGGGACACGUGGUAUCCUGUCUGAAUAUGGGGGGACCAUCCUCCAAGGCUAAAUACUCCUGACUGACCGAUAGUGAACCAGUACCGUGAGGGAAAGGCGAAAAGAACCCCGGCGAGGGGAGUGAAACAGAACCUGAAACCGUGUACGUACAAGCAGUGGGAGCACAGGUUUACCUGUGUGACUGCGUACCUUUUGUAUAAUGGGUCAGCGACUUAUAUUCUGUAGCAAGGUUAACCGCAUAGGGGAGCCGAAGGGAAACCGAGUCUUAACCGGGCGUUAAGUUGCAGGGUAUAGACCCGAAACCCGGUGAUCUAGCCAUGGGCAGGUUGAAGGUUGGGUAACACUAACUGGAGGACCGAACCGACUAAUGUUGAAAAAUUAGCGGAUGACCUGUGGCUGGGGGUGAAAGGCCAAUCAAACCGGGAGAUAGCUGGUUCUCCCCGAAAGCUAUUUAGGUAGCGCCUCGUGAAUUCAUCUCCGGGGGUAGAGCACUGUUUCGGCUAGGGGGCCAUCCCGGCUUACCAACCCGAUGCAAACUGCGAAUACCGGAGAAUGUUAUCACGGGAGACACACGGCGGGUGCUAACGUCCGUCGUGAAGAGGGAAACAACCCAGACCGCCAGCUAAGGUCCCAAAGUCAUGGUUAAGUGGGAAACGAUGUGGGAAGGCCCAGACAGCCAGGAUGUUGGCUUAGAAGCAGCCAUCAUUUAAAGAAAGCGUAAUAGCUCACUGGUCGAGUCGGCCUGCGCGGAAGAUGUAACGGGGCUAAACCAUGCACCGAAGCUGCGGCAGCGACGCUUAGGCGUUGUUGGGUAGGGGAGCGUUCUGUAAGCCGUUGAAGGUGGCCUGUGAGGGUUGCUGGAGGUAUCAGAAGUGCGAAUGCUGACAUAAGUAACGAUAAAGCGGGUGAAAAGCCCGCUCGCCGGAAGACCAAGGGUUCCUGUCCAACGUUAAUCGGGGCAGGGUGAGUCGACCCCUAAGGCGAGGCCGAAAGGCGUAGUCGAUGGGAAACGGGUUAAUAUUCCCGUACUUGGUGUUACUGCGAAGGGGGGACGGAGAAGGCUAUGUUGGCCGGGCGACGGUUGUCCCGGUUUAAGCGUGUAGGCUGACUUUCCAGGCAAAUCCGGAGAGUCAAGGCUGAGGCGUGACGACGAGGCACUACGGUGCUGAAGCAACAAAUGCCCUGCUUCCAGGAAAAGCCUCUAAGCAUCAGGUAACAUCAAAUCGUACCCCAAACCGACACAGGUGGUCAGGUAGAGAAUACCAAGGCGCUUGAGAGAACUCGGGUGAAGGAACUAGGCAAAAUGGUGCCGUAACUUCGGGAGAAGGCACGCUGACAUGUAGGUGAAGCGGUUUACCCGUGGAGCUGAAGUCAGUCGAAGAUACCAGCUGGCUGCAACUGUUUAUUAAAAACACAGCACUGUGCAAACACGAAAGUGGACGUAUACGGUGUGACGCCUGCCCGGUGCCGGAAGGUUAAUUGAUGGGGUCAGCGCAAGCGAAGCUCCUGAUCGAAGCCCCGGUAAACGGCGGCCGUAACUAUAACGGUCCUAAGGUAGCGAAAUUCCUUGUCGGGUAAGUUCCGACCUGCACGAAUGGCGUAAUGAUGGCCAGGCUGUCUCCACCCGAGACUCAGUGAAAUUGAACUCGCUGUGAAGAUGCAGUGUACCCGCGGCAAGACGGAAAGACCCCGUGAACCUUUACUAUAGCUUGACACUGAACAUUGAGCCUUGAUGUGUAGGAUAGGUGGGAGGCUUUGAAGCGUGGACGCCAGUCUGCGUGGAGCCGACCUUGAAAUACCACCCUUUAAUGUUUGAUGUUCUAACGUGGACCCGUGAUCCGGGUUGCGGACAGUGUCUGGUGGGUAGUUUGACUGGGGCGGUCUCCUCCUAAAGAGUAACGGAGGAGCACGAAGGUUGGCUAAUCCUGGUCGGACAUCAGGAGGUUAGUGCAAUGGCAUAAGCCAGCUUGACUGCGAGCGUGACGGCGCGAGCAGGUGCGAAAGCAGGUCAUAGUGAUCCGGUGGUUCUGAAUGGAAGGGCCAUCGCUCAACGGAUAAAAGGUACUCCGGGGAUAACAGGCUGAUACCGCCCAAGAGUUCAUAUCGACGGCGGUGUUUGGCACCUCGAUGUCGGCUCAUCACAUCCUGGGGCUGAAGUAGGUCCCAAGGGUAUGGCUGUUCGCCAUUUAAAGUGGUACGCGAGCUGGGUUUAGAACGUCGUGAGACAGUUCGGUCCCUAUCUGCCGUGGGCGCUGGAGAAUUGAGGGGGGCUGCUCCUAGUACGAGAGGACCGGAGUGGACGCAUCACUGGUGUUCGGGUUGUCAUGCCAAUGGCACUGCCCGGUAGCUAAAUGCGGAAGAGAUAAGUGCUGAAAGCAUCUAAGCACGAAACUUGCCCCGAGAUGAGUUCUCCCUGAGACUUUAAGUCUCCUGAAGGAACGUUGAAGACGACGACGUUGAUAGGCCGGGUGUGUAAGCGCAGCGAUGCGUUGAGCUAACCGGCACUAAUGAACCGUGAGGCUUAACCUU